GACGAACGCUGGCGGCGUGCUUAACACAUGCAAGUCGAACGGAAAGGCCCUGCUUUUGUGGGGUGCUCGAGUGGCGAACGGGUGAGUAACACGUGAGUAACCUGCCCUUGACUUUGGGAUAACUUCAGGAAACUGGGGCUAAUACCGGAUAGGAGCUCCUGCUGCAUGGUGGGGGUUGGAAAGUUUCGGCGGUUGGGGCUGGACUCGCGGCGUAUCAGCUUGUUUGUGGGGUAGUGGCUUACCAAGGCUUUGACGGGUAGCCGGCCUGAGAGGGUGACCGGCCACAUUGGGACUGAGAUACGGCCCAGACUCCUACGGGAGGCAGCAGUGGGGAAUAUUGCACAAUGGGCGGAAGCCUGAUGCAGCAACGCCGCGUGCGGGAUGACGGCCUUCGGGUUGUAAACCUCUUUCGCCUGUGACGAAGCGUGAGUGACGGUAAUGUGUAAAGAAGCACCGGCUAACUACGUG
RNAcentral lists this ribosomal RNA (468 nucleotides) under uncultured bacterium. Its description in RNAcentral is "partial 16S ribosomal RNA". It matches the Rfam family "Bacterial small subunit ribosomal RNA", at positions 28 to 507 of the family's 1533-position model. The record is from RNAcentral.